This 253-nucleotide ribosomal RNA is filed under the name uncultured bacterium. Its description in RNAcentral is "partial 16S ribosomal RNA". It matches the Rfam family "Bacterial small subunit ribosomal RNA", at positions 524 to 776 of the family's 1533-position model. The record is from RNAcentral.
UACGGAGGGGGCAAGCGUUGUUCGGAUUUACUGGGCGUAAAGGGCGCGUAGGCGGUCAGGCAAGUCACUUGUGAAAUCUCUGAGCUUAACUCAGAGCGGCCAAGUGAUACUGCCAAACUAGAGUGCAGAAGGGGCAACUGGAAUUCUUGGUGUAGCGGUGAAAUGCGUAGAUAUCAAGAGGAACACCUGAGGCGAAGGCGGGUUGCUGGGCUGACACUGACGCUGAGGCGCGAAAGCUAGGGGAGCAAACAGG